RNAcentral lists this ribosomal RNA (423 nucleotides) under Chironius monticola. RNAcentral describes it as "partial 16S ribosomal RNA". It matches the Rfam family "Bacterial large subunit ribosomal RNA", at positions 1908 to 2550 of the family's 2925-position model. Lineage: Eukaryota; Metazoa; Chordata; Lepidosauria; Squamata; Colubridae. The record is from RNAcentral.
CCCAGUGAACAAUUAAACGGCCGCGGUACCCUAACCGUGCAAAGGUAGCAUAAUCAUUUGUCUACUAAUUAUAGACCUGCAUGAAAGGCAAAAUGAGGGUUUAACUGUCUCUUAUAAUGAAUCAAUUAAACUGAUCUCCUAGUAAAAAAGCUAGAAUUUCCACAUAAGACCAGAAGACCCUGUGAAGCUUAAACUAAAUUAUUAAACCAUAUAAUAACCACUUUCGGUUGGGGCGACCUUGGAAAAAAAAAGAACUUCCAAAAACCAUGACUAUCCAUACCACCCUAGGCCUACAAGCCAAUAAAUGACCCAGCACAGCUGAUCAAUGAACCAAGUUACUCCAGGGAUAACAGCGCAAUCCUCUUCAAGAGCCCAUAUCAAAAAGAGGGUUUACGACCUCGAUGUUGGAUCAGGACAUCCUAA